This 307-nucleotide unclassified non-coding RNA is filed under the name Hevea brasiliensis (rubber tree). Lineage: Eukaryota; Viridiplantae; Streptophyta; Magnoliopsida; Malpighiales; Euphorbiaceae. The record is from RNAcentral.
AAAUACCUCAUUAUUGAAUAGAUAAUACGAACUUCAGCCUGGCAAGUAUUAACCAAAACAAAUAUCCACCAACUUCAUGCCAUUCAAACAAUUUAGAGCACUACCUGGAUAUAAGCCUCAUUUCUAUCUCUAAGCUAAUAUAUUCAGCUUUAUACCAAAUUUGAUUGCACCAGAAAAGUUCUAAGACUUCUUUUUUUCUAUUCCUCUUGAACUAAGAUUGGGAACAAAAAUGAAUUUAGGAAUCACAAUACAACAAAAGAGGGGGAAAACAAAAGCAAUGACUAGAUAAUGCUUUACUAGAAGAUUA